UCUGCCCCCUCUUCGUGCAUUCUCUCUCUCCUUCACAGGCCCCACUACUCUGUCCUGGGGCAGGUGCCAGACACGGAUAUUUACAGAGAUGUGGCAGAGUACUCAGAGGCCAAGGAAGUCCCGGGGGUGAAGGUCUUCCGCUCCUCGGCCACCGUGUACUUUGCCAAUGCUGAGUUCUACAGUGAUGCGCUGAAGCAGAGGGUGAGACGGAGUCCCCAGGAUGGGUGUCAGGCCCCAGCUCCCAGAGAGCUCACCAACCCUUCUCUGAUGUUUGCCUCCAGUGUGGUGUGGAUGUCGACUUCCUCAUCUCCCAGAAGAAGAAACUGCUCAAGAAGCAGGAGCAGCUGAAGCUGAAGCAACUGCAGAAAGAGGAGAAGCUUCAGAAACAGGCAGGGCCCCUUUUGUCUGGUGACCCCCAUCUCCUGCCCCCUGUUCCCUGCCCCAGCCUUUCUCCUGGCCCCCGACUCCUCCCUCGUCCUCACUCCUCAUCCCUUCCCCUUUCUCCCUCAUGCUCCCAGGGACCCUGCUUCACUCCCCUAGCAGGUCCGGGCUCUAGGCAGCAUUUUCUCUCCCAUCAUCUGAACCAGUGACAGUGAGAACCGUCACAGUCCUCUUCCCUUUCACGGCUGUUCCAGGAGCUUCAGCCUGGCUGCU
RNAcentral lists this small RNA (654 nucleotides) under Pan troglodytes (chimpanzee). Its description in RNAcentral is "retained intron". Lineage: Eukaryota; Metazoa; Chordata; Mammalia; Primates; Hominidae. The record is from RNAcentral.